This 253-nucleotide ribosomal RNA is filed under the name uncultured bacterium. RNAcentral describes it as "partial 16S ribosomal RNA". It matches the Rfam family "Bacterial small subunit ribosomal RNA", at positions 524 to 776 of the family's 1533-position model. The record is from RNAcentral.
UACGUAGGAUGCGAGCGUUAUCCGGAAUUACUGGGUGUAAAGGGAGCGCAGGCGCGACUGCAAGUUGGAUGUGAAAUGCCGCAGCUUAACUGCGGAGCUGCAUCCAAAACUGUAGUUCUUGAGUGGAGUAGAGGCAAGCGGAAUUCCGAGUGUAGCGGUGAAAUGCGUAGAUAUUCGGAGGAACACCAGUGGCGAAGGCGGCUUGCUGGGCUCUAACUGACGCUGAGGCUCGAAAGUGUGGGGAGCAAACAGG